AGUGGCCACUAGCAACACAUGCUGUUGCCUAGCUGAGCUCAGCUCAUCUUUACCUCCCCACUGUGUGUCCAGCCACCAGCUUACCGAAAUGUCAGAGCUAUCCUCUCCACUUCCUAGUGGCCAAGAAACUUCUCCUCUUAUAGAGAGAUCAAGGGAGUAAAGAGACAGAGAGAACCAAGUGUUUUGUGUUGUAGACCACACUCCCUUUUGCAAAGAACACACACAAGAUUCCUAAUCGUCUCCUCUCCUUGCUUUGUUGUUGCUAUGGUUUGCCACCAUCACAAGCAACCUUGUGCAUUAGUUAGAUCCAGAAUUCCAGAUCUCUCACUUCUUUCUCAGUAGGCAAGCACAUAAUCUUGUAUAGGGUAGUAUAUUUAUUUGUUUUCAUUGCUGUUUCUGUUGCUCUCAGUCCAUAUCUGUCAGUGGGUCAGUAUUGCAUCUGCCUUUUUUUUUCUCUCUCUCUUCAUCGAUCUUUAUAGAUUUGUUUGGGUGAUGCCUGGGCGCAGUGGUUUAUCGAUCUCUUCCCUGCCUUGUGCUGCUCCGAUCGAUGCCCGUGCUGAUUCUUGAUAAUAUACAACGCAGGAAUCGAUCGAUAAGCCUCUGCAUCCAGAUCUCACUUUUUGUUUAUGCGUAUGAGCCGGUACAGGUUGCCUCUUUGUUCUUGUUUUAUAGGGAUAUAAUCACUGAUUGAUAUAUUUCUUGGGAGUUUAGUUUUUGUUCUAUGUGCUAGAAGUAUCUCUUGAUAUUGGAUAGCAAGAUUUGCCCCUUUUCUUAAAAAAAAAAAGUGGAUAGCAAGAUGCUGUCUUCCAAUUAACCCGCCUUGUGAUAGUUUCUCUUGUUAUUUUAUCAUAUCCUUAACUGCUGCGUAUGAAUAUAUACAGCUCGAUUAAUGGAUCGUUUUUUGUACAGGCAAUAGCUUGCUUUAGCUUAACAAAUAUCCUCAUAUUGCUGCUGCCACUUUUGCAAGCUUGUUUUGUAAAUUACAUUUGGAUAGUUGGUUAUGCAUUUGUGAGUUGUGACAAAUUACAUAAAGUUAUGGAUGAUGUAUUGAUG
This 1053-nucleotide small RNA is filed under the name Oryza sativa Japonica Group (Japanese rice). RNAcentral's name for it is "sRNA Os04g0488650". The stretch from base 495 to 612 matches the Rfam family "MIR162_2 microRNA precursor family". Lineage: Eukaryota; Viridiplantae; Streptophyta; Magnoliopsida; Poales; Poaceae. The record is from RNAcentral.